Molecule: small nuclear RNA, 106 nt
Organism: Trichechus manatus latirostris (Florida manatee)
Lineage: Eukaryota; Metazoa; Chordata; Mammalia; Sirenia; Trichechidae
Source: RefSeq, a predicted model, not a curated record
GUGCUUGCUUCAGCAGUACAUAUAUUAAAAUUAGAACAAUACAGAGAAGAUUAACAGAUACCUGCACAAGGAUGACACAAAAUCUAGGAAGGUUCUUUUUUUUUUC